Molecule: unclassified non-coding RNA, 220 nt
Filed under: uncultured Tomentella
Lineage: Eukaryota; Fungi; Basidiomycota; Agaricomycetes; Thelephorales; Thelephoraceae
Description: sequence contains ITS2
Source: RNAcentral
ACACCUCAACUCUCGUGGUCCGCCAUGAUGAGCUUGGACUUUGGGGGUCUUGCCGGCGCCUAGCGUCGGCUCCUCUCAAAUGGAUCAGCUUGCCAGUGUUUGGUGGCGUCACAGGUGUGAUAACUAUCUACACUUGUGGUUUUCCACCAUGUAACCUUCAGUGAUGGAGGUUCGCUGGAGCUCACAGACGUCUCUCCUUGGGGAGGACAGCUUCUUGAAC